Chinchilla lanigera (long-tailed chinchilla) is the source of this 134-nucleotide small nucleolar RNA. Its record names the gene SNORA71. It matches the Rfam family "Small nucleolar RNA SNORA71". Rfam says of the family: The members of this family belong to the H/ACA class of snoRNAs which bind a number of proteins (including dyskerin, Gar1p and Nop10p) to form snoRNP complexes. This class of snoRNAs are thought to guide the sites of modification of uridines to pseudouridines by forming direct base pairing interactions with substrate RNAs. This family includes U71 (SNORA71), ACA39 (SNORA39) and ACA60 (SNORA60). NCBI's taxonomy places the organism in Eukaryota, Metazoa, Chordata, Mammalia, Rodentia, Chinchillidae. The record is from Ensembl.
CCCUGUAUUCGAAAGUGAUCGUGGGCUGCCUGUGCCCUGGUCAUUGAUAGUGCAGGAAGAGGAACUGCUGAAAGCCUUUCCCCGUGUUUGGAAGGUCUACUGCUAUCCUUGCCAGACCCUGGAGCUUUCCCACA